RNAcentral lists this transfer RNA (845 nucleotides) under Sphingomonas sp. SLAU-12. RNAcentral describes it as "partial contains 16S ribosomal RNA, 16S-23S ribosomal RNA intergenic spacer, and 23S ribosomal RNA". The stretch from base 216 to 289 matches the Rfam family "tRNA". The record is from RNAcentral. Lineage: Bacteria; Pseudomonadati; Pseudomonadota; Alphaproteobacteria; Sphingomonadales; Sphingomonadaceae.
CUUUCUAGGUAUGGUCCGAAAGCGCCUGACCUUGUGUCGGGAGGAGCUUCGUACCUUCCGCAGAACAUUAAGCCGCCGUCCUCAUGUCCCUUCAUCAAUAGGUUAGUCUGCGAGACGGAAUAGCGAAGCUAUUCUGCACGCAGACAAGCUCGGCCAGCGUGGCUGAGCUGCGCCAUAAGGCGCGGCUUUGCCGCGACUGACGGCGCAGCGGGUACGGGCCGGUAGCUCAGGUGGUUAGAGCGCACGCCUGAUAAGCGUGAGGUCGUAGGUUCAACUCCUACUCGGCCCACCAGUUAGUGCGGAUGGUUCUAGCCAGCGCCACGGGCAAAGCCCGUGUCGUCGGUCGUAGCUGACGCUACGCCGGCCGUGCUUGCGACUGUGCAGAAUAGCAUUGCUAUUCUGUCUCGUCGCUGGUGCAUUGGGGCCUUAGCUCAGCUGGGAGAGCGGUUGCUUUGCAAGCAUCAGGUCAUCGGUUCGAUCCCGAUAGGCUCCACCACGCACUCCUGCGAAGCGAAGCGAGCAAGACUAACCUCUAUUGAUGAAGCGAACGAGUUCCUCGUGGUUGACACGAGGUGGGACGGCGUUAGUACGCCGCUUCCGAUUUUUGACAUUGUGAAUGGUUUUUUCAAAUCGAUGCCGUGAGGCGUUGGUUCGGAAGGGAAGCGCGAGCCGCAAGGUUCGUCAGCAACUCCGACGAAGCAGCGUUCAUCACAUCAAGGCUGAGCGAUUUUCAACCACACCGAUACAAGCCACGUGACACUGCUCUGCCGAGUUUCGUGUCGUCGUUCUAGCGAACGUCGAUCCAGUGUUGUCGUUGGUGGUGUGGACUCUCAAGCGUGAGGUAA